Molecule: ribosomal RNA, 407 nt
Filed under: uncultured bacterium
Lineage: Bacteria
Description: bacterial SSU rRNA
Rfam family: Bacterial small subunit ribosomal RNA
Source: RNAcentral
GGACCCGCACAAGCAGUGGAGCAUGUGGUUUAAUUCGAUGAUACGCGCAGAACCUUACCAACACUUGACAUGUUCGUCGCGACUCUAAGAGAUUAGAGUUUUCGGUUCGGCCGGACGAAACACAGGUGCUGCAUGGCUGUCGUCAGCUCGUGUCGUGAGAUGUUGGGUUAAGUCCCGCAACGAGCGCAACCCUCACUUUUAGUUGCCAUCAUUAAGUUGGGCACUCUGAAAGAACUGCCAGUGAUAAGCUGGAGGAAGGUGGGGAUGACGUCAAGUCCUCAUGGCCCUUACGUGUUGGGCUACACACGUGCUACAAUGGUAUCUACAACAGGAAGCAAGACUGCGAGGUCAAGCAAAUCCUUAAAAGAUACCUCAGUUCGGAUUGCACUCUGCAACUCGAGUGCAUG